UCUCAGUACCCCGAGGAAAAGAAAUCAACCGAGAUUCCCCCAGUAGCGGCGAGCGAACGGGGAGCAGCCCAGAGUCAACAUCAAUAUUUACCGCAGGAGAAGGGUCUGGAAAGGCCGGCAAUAAAGGGUGAUAGCCCCGUAUCUGAAACGGUAAGUGUUGUGAACUCGAAGAGUAGGGCGGGACACGUGUUAUCCUGUCUGAAUAUGGGGGGACCAUCCUCCAAGGCUAAAUACUCCUGACUGACCGAUAGUGAACCAGUACCGUGAGGGAAAGGCGAAAAGAACCCCGGCGAGGGGAGUGAAAUAGAACCUGAAACCGUGUACGUACAAGCAGUGGGAGCACCCGAAAGGGUGUGACUGCGUACCUUUUGUAUAAUGGGUCAGCGACUUAUAUUCUGUAGCAAGGUUAACCGCAUAGGGGAGCCGUAGGGAAACCGAGUCUUAACUGGGCGUUAAGUUGCAGGGUAUAGACCCGAAACCCGGUGAUCUAGCCAUGGGCAGGUUGAAGGUUGGGUAACACUAACUGGAGGAC
RNAcentral lists this ribosomal RNA (532 nucleotides) under Candidatus Arsenophonus nilaparvatae. RNAcentral describes it as "bacterial LSU rRNA". It matches the Rfam family "Bacterial large subunit ribosomal RNA", at positions 201 to 774 of the family's 2925-position model. The record is from RNAcentral. Lineage: Bacteria; Pseudomonadati; Pseudomonadota; Gammaproteobacteria; Enterobacterales; Morganellaceae.